Molecule: long non-coding RNA, 4788 nt
Filed under: Marmota monax (woodchuck)
Lineage: Eukaryota; Metazoa; Chordata; Mammalia; Rodentia; Sciuridae
Source: RNAcentral
UUUAAUAUUUAUUUAUUUUUUAGGUGUAGAUGGACAGAACACAAUGCCUUUAUUUUUAUGUGGUGCUGAGAAUCGAGCCUGGGUCCUGCUCUGCUAGGCGAGCACUCUACCUCUGAGCCACAAUCCCAGCCCCACUGAUACACGUAUUCUUUUACAUAUAUCUGCAGACUUCUUACCAGUGAAUUGGUAAAGAUAAUACAUUUGAAACUUGGAUGUUUCUUUCCAGUUAGCUUAUGACUAAGUUUCUUACUAUAAAGGAGUUAGACUGUGGGGGCCCUGUGUUAUACCUAAGUGGUUCAUGGCCUAAGAAAGUUGAGAAACUGUGUGCUUUUGAUUCAGAAUUGUAGAGCUGAAGAGACUUGGGGAUGAGUUGGAUAUUGGAAUUAUCUUGGGAAUGUUUUCAUAAAACAAGUAGGCCUGAGCCUUCUCUUCUCCCAUCCCCUGUCUUCUAAAUUAGUAUAUUAGAUGAGCUCCAAUACACGUACAAGUAAUUCCCCUAUCGUGUAAGUUUCAUCAUUCAAAUUGUUUUUUAACAUAGUGACUUAGCAGACCAGUUUUGGAAUAUUAAGUAAUGAUCUGAAACUGACAUGUAGAAAAAAGUACAACCCGCCACUUUCCUUGAGGUUUUAGGUGUUUCACUUAUUUUAAUUAGCUUUUGACACCUAUAAUAUAGCGUGAUAUAAGCAGGAGAAUUUGUUAGGAUUAUUCUUUGUUAUCACCCAUCACCUACAAAGGUUCUUGGCAAAUACUAGAGGUGCAGUAAAUAUUUUUUGUGGUUGCAUGAAUUAUGUAUUAAUGCAUAAUAAAGGUAUUAAGAAUAUAGAAUUGACCCAGUGAUUGUGCUGAUACAGAUAGAAAAAAAUCCUUUGCUUUUGGGCAGAAUUUAGUUAAGUUUCUAGUUUAUGGCUCUAUCUAUACCUUUAAAGCCAUAAAAACAGGACUUUUGAAGGGAGUCGUACUACUUGUGUAUGGCACAGAGUCAUCUUGUAGAGGCAAGUGGAGCCUAAAAUCCAGCCAAGAUAAGCAUUGUCCCUGCGGAGUUGUGUCUACCCAAGGUGAGAGAGAAGUAGCUUUUGUUAACUGGAAAGAUUUGUUCAUUCAUCUUUUAUAUAACAAGUUAGCUGUAAUUCAUAUUGGUUUUUAACAUGGUGACUGAGCACACCAUUUUUACAAUAUUAAGUAAUGACUAUAAUUUGAAUUAUAUGUGAUAUGUUGAUUUUUUUUUUUUUUUUUCCUCUUACUACUCAGGAUUUUCUCAUUAUCUUUGAUCCUCAACAGUUUGACUCCAGAUUGAGGAUCCUUUUUCUGAAAUGCUUGAGAUCAGAAGUGUUUUAAAGUUUGGAUAUUUUUUUGGUUUUUAAUAUUUGCAUAGAAUAUUUGCAUUUUACUGUUCUACCAUCCCUAAUCUGAAAAUCUGAAACCUGCAAAGCUCCAAAAUAUGAAAGUUUCUGAUUGCUCAAAAAUUCUUUUGAACAUUUUUGAUUUUCAGAUUAUGGAUGCUUCGUCUAUAUUGAUUUAUGUUGAUGAAUAUGUGUGCGAUUGUAGUUUUCUUUAUAUUUAUCCUACGUUCUCUGAGCUUUUACGAUCUGUAAAUUUAGGUUUGUCCAACAAAUUUUGGGAAAAUUUGCCUGCUGUUUCUCAAAAUAAAUUUCCUUAUUCUUUCUCUCUUUUGCUUCUUGGACUUUUUAUUUACACAUAUGAGGAUUCUUUCAAUAUCGUCCCACAUUUCUAUAAAUAUUUUCUCUCUGUUCUUUAGAUUGAGUAUUUUCUAUCAAUUUAUCUUCAAGUCCCCUGACUUUUUGUUAUUUUCAUUCAUCUAUUCUAAGCAUAUCCAGUAAAUUUUAUAUUUCAUAUCUUUCAAUUCUUGAGUUUAUUUGGUUCAUUUAUUUUUCUUUGCUGAAAUUCCCCCAGGCAGUUUUUCCCCCUAUUGUAUCUUUCCAUAUGUUUUCAAAACCCUGCUUUUAGAACCUUCUAUACUAACCCCAGUAUCUGUAUCAUUUCAGCAUUGGUUUCCUCUGAUUGUCUUUUGAAACUGAGCUACUUUCUUUAAUAAGUUGUUUUUAAUAAUAUCCUGGAUAUUGUUACUUAUAGAGACUUUGAAUUCUGUUACAUUCUGAGAAGUGGUGACUUUUUAAACAGUUGACUUAGUUGGGCUAAAUUGCAAAUUCUAGUCUCCUGAGCUGGUUCAGUAGUAAUCUGCCUUCUUCAUGUUUUGGUUCAGAGGCAGAUAGAGAUUUGGGGAGAGUUUAUACCAUGCCACUGGAGGCUUCCCUUUUCUGGCUGUCUCCCCUCUGAUUCCUCCUUGCUUUCCAACAAUUGUGGUUACCUCAGACUGUUCUUCAAAUGAGAAUGACUACAGUUUUUCUAUUAGUUUUUGGCUGCCAUACUUGGUACAGACUGCAGCUUGCACUCAAGUUUACAGUCAUAACAUGGAAGAUAACUUCCUCAUGUUCCUUUCUCCUAGGCAUCUACUCCUGUCCACAAUUAGCCUGUUUUUGUUUGUUCUCUGUAGUGCCUUCAGAUUGUAGUGUAUUUUGUGAAGAGUUUAUAGUUGUUAUCUUUGUAAGGUUUGGCACCAGUAGGAACUACAUAGCCAUUUUUAAAUUGAAAGUACAGGUACCCUUUUUAAAAAUUUGCACAAAACAUGCCAAAUAAGCUACAGUGGUCUUGGAAAUCAAAACACCUUUAUUACUUAGAUUCUUAUAAGAAAAUAGUGUUUUGUUAUUAUUACUAUUAUUUGUAUUGUUGGACAUGAACUCAGGACCUCACACAUGCGGCAAGUGCUCUACCAUUGACUACAUCCCCAGCCCCCCAAAUAGUGUAAUUAUUAUUUGUCUGAAUUUUCUUAGUCUCUACAUUCCUUUUUCCCCAUUGAAACUUUCUUUCUUUCUUGAACUCAAGGCCUCAUGCAUGCUAGGCAAGCAGUCUACUACUGAGCUACAUCCUCAGCCCUUAUUUUUGUAAUCUGAUUUGUUAACACAGGUUUAUUAAGAUUGUAAUUCUUGCAUUAUAUUAAAUAGGCUAUUUAAGGAAGGGGAGCAUAUUUCUCCUCUCUGUACUACUACCACCAAAUUUGAUUUUAUAACAUGUUUAAUGUAACUUAUUCUGAGAUUUUUUUUUCAGUUAUCUACCUGAGGUAUAGACUCUAGUAGGAAAAGUUACUCUGAAACUGAGUUCAAACAAUAAUGUUAUGGUUAUGGGCAUAAUAAGGUACUAGAUAGACUGGUGGCUGAUGUGGUUGUUAAGAUUUAAGAUUAUAGUCAUUCCUUGAAGAAAAAUACAAAGAUUUGGGACAUCUUGCCAGCCAAAAAAUAAGACUAAGCUUUGCCCACAAUUGCGUAGUAACUAGUCAAAAGAAAGAGGCUUCAUAUGAACUCAUUAUGUACAGUUAGGCACGUUAAUCAGUUUAACUGUAGCUGUAGAUACAUAAGUGGUAAUAUGCUUUUAGAUUUCAAUGAUAUUUCAUAGAUUAAUAAGUUUGUAAAGAAUUAUGUGUAUAUUGCUAUUAUUAACCUGGAUUCCAUGCUGACCAUUUGACUUAAUGAUUUGUGUACAUCCCCAUAAAUGAUAGUAGCUGUUUUUCACUUACAGUGUCAAAAUUAUUCAUAUGUGUGAAAAGAAGGUAUAACUAGGUGUCAUUAGCCUGGGUUUCUACUUAUAGGUCCACCACUAACUGAUGUUAUCAUUUAGAAUGUUGAAAUGACUUGUCUGACUUUUAGUGUUCUAAUCUUUAAAAAGAAGAAAAUAGACCAGAUAAUAGCUUUUCUAGUCCUCAAAUUAAAAAUCUUUUUCCUAGUUAUUCAGUUACUUUGUUAUUGAACAUAGUCCUUUCUCUGUAUUCUGUAUAUGUAUUAAUUCUAUUUAAUUUUAUUUUUAUACUUUCUUUACCUCACACCAUAAAUCAUUUGAGUUUGUAAUUCCAAUAAAAUGCUUAAAUGGCAGUUUUAUGCGAAUAUAACAUAGCAUUUUGCAGAAAUUGCUAAAAUUUAUUUUAUAGAAAGACAUUUUAGCAUUUAAUGAUGAGUAGGUUUAUUUGGAGCCAAAUAUUUAGUUCUCAAAUGUGCAUAUUUAUCUGAAGUAUUAAUAGAUCACGUUGAGGCAAUUAUUUUAGUUUAGUACCUUAUAUAUCUUAUGGAGUCAGUUUAUUUCUGAAUGAUUAUCAUUGCCUGAGCAUCAGUUACUUCAUUCUUAGUUUAUGUAGAAACAUUGGCUAUUUUAUACUCCCUUUAUGUUGUUUUUCUAUGACUGUUUCCUCAGUUCAUUUUUUAUAAUACUACGGUACCAUUACAUCAUAUAGGUAUUCCUCACUGAGAGCAUUUUUAAUAAAGUUAUAAGACUUCUAUUUUUAAAUUAAUUUGUUCUGUCUUUAUAAUGAAGCCUAUGUGCUCUUUUGUUUGUGGCAUCUUUUUCAGUAAUAUGUGCUAGAUAUACAUUGUUUUGUGGAACUAUUUAGGGAUUUAAAUUUGUUAUUAUUGAUUAUAUCUGUGCUUAUUGAUUAAGAAAAAUUAGGUGUUCAAAUGUCUAAUAUGUGGAAAGAAUAUAUCAUUAUUUUAUACACAAUUUAUCAUUGUUAACAAAGCUUUCUUUGCUCUAUUUUAUAGGUGAUGUUUGCAGACAGAAAAAGUAAACUGUCCAGCAAUCCAAACUAUUGUGUACUUAUUACUUGGACCAACUUGAGGAACGAUUCUUUGAUCAAACUAGUUGGCAAUAGAAAAUGAAAAGUAGUGUGGCACAGAUAAAAGUAAGUGUUUGAAAUUCUUGAUAGAAGAUGCAAACUUAUAGUUAGUU